AACGGGGUAGUUUAUUUAUAGAAUUAGUGUUUUGCGUUCGCUAGGUGGAGUUAUCUCUCUGUUA
This 64-nucleotide transfer RNA is filed under the name Macrogyrodactylus karibae. RNAcentral describes it as "tRNA-Ala". The record is from RNAcentral. Lineage: Eukaryota; Metazoa; Platyhelminthes; Monogenea; Gyrodactylidea; Gyrodactylidae.